This 550-nucleotide ribosomal RNA is filed under the name Palaeomegopis lameerei. Its description in RNAcentral is "partial 16S ribosomal RNA". Lineage: Eukaryota; Metazoa; Arthropoda; Insecta; Coleoptera; Cerambycidae. The record is from RNAcentral.
UAAAAAUAUUCUAUAUAUUUAGUUUUCUCGAAUUCGAAAGAGUUAAUAAUUUAUAAAUUUUAUUGUUGAAUAAAUAUUUAAAAUAAAUUAUUAGAAAUGAAAUGUUAUUCGUUUUUGAAUAUAUCUAGUUUUUUAAGAAAAAAAUUUAAUUUUACUUUUUUUAAAAAAAUUUUUAUUUAAUAGGAUUUUUUUGGAAUUUAGAAAUAUUUAAGGGGAUGAGCUUUUAAAUAAAUGUUUAUAAAUUAAUAAAAAUUUAUAUUAUAAAUGGGAUUGAAGGUUUCUAUUUUUAGGAGGGUGUUAUAACUAUUAUUAUUUUAAAUAUUAUUUUUAUUUGGUUUUAAGUAUUUUAUUAAAAUUUAAUUUUAAAUGUAUAAGAAUUAGGAAUAAUGAUAAAAUUAGUAUAAUAAAAAUUUAAAUUUAAUGUUGAAAUUUUAGGUAAAGUAAAGGAAUUCGGCAAAAAUUUUUCCACCUGUUUAUUAAAAACAUGGCUUUUUGAAGAUAAUUUAAGGUCUGACCUGCCCACUGAUAAAUUAAAUGGCCGCGGUAUUUU